GACGAACGCUGGCGGCGUGCUUAACACAUGCAAGUCGAACGGAAAGGCCUCUUUCGGGGGGUACUCGAGUGGCGAACGGGUGAGUAACACGUGAGUAACCUGCCCUUGACUUUGGGAUAACUUCAGGAAACUGGGGCUAAUACCGGAUAGGAGCUCCUGCUGCAUGGGGGGGGUUGGAAAGUUUCGGCGGUGGGGGAUGGACUCGCGGCUUAUCAGCUUGUUGGUGGGGUAGUGGCUUACCAAGGCUUUGACGGGUGGCCGGCCUGAGAGGGGGACCGGCCACAUUGGGGAUGAGAUACGGCCCAGACUCCUACGGGAGGCAGCAGUGGGGAAAUUUGCACAAUGGGCGGAAGCCUGAUGCAGCAACGCCGCGUGCGGGAUGACGGCCUUCGGGUUGUAAACCGCCUUCGCCUGUGACGAAGCGUUAGUGACGGGAAGGGGGAAAGAAACACCCGCUAACUACGUG
RNAcentral lists this ribosomal RNA (466 nucleotides) under uncultured bacterium. RNAcentral describes it as "partial 16S ribosomal RNA". It matches the Rfam family "Bacterial small subunit ribosomal RNA", at positions 28 to 507 of the family's 1533-position model. The record is from RNAcentral.